Molecule: transfer RNA, 72 nt
Filed under: Nocardia ninae
Lineage: Bacteria; Bacillati; Actinomycetota; Actinomycetes; Mycobacteriales; Nocardiaceae
Also listed under: 1 other name
Description: tRNA-Trp
Rfam family: tRNA
About the family: Transfer RNA (tRNA) molecules are approximately 80 nucleotides in length. Their secondary structure includes four short double-helical elements and three loops (D, anti-codon, and T loops).
Source: RNAcentral
UGGGACGUAGCUCAGUGGUAGAGCGGCGGUCUCCAAAACCGCUUGCGGGAGUUCGAUUCUCCCCGUCCUGGC